This 306-nucleotide ribosomal RNA is filed under the name uncultured bacterium. RNAcentral describes it as "partial 16S ribosomal RNA". It matches the Rfam family "Bacterial small subunit ribosomal RNA", at positions 507 to 808 of the family's 1533-position model. The record is from RNAcentral.
GACAGCAGUAGCCGCGGGAAUACGAAGGGUGCAAGCGUUACUCGGAAUUACUGGGCGUAAGCGUGCGUAGGUGGUGGUUUAAGUCCGUUGUGAAAGCCCUGGGCUCAACCUGGGAAUUGCAGUGGAUACUGGGUCACUAGAGUGUGGUAGAGGAUAGUGGAAUUUCCGGUGUAACAGUGAAAUGCGUAGAGAUCGGAAGGAACAUCUGUGGCGAAGGCGACUAUCUGGGCCAACACUGACACUGAGGCACGAAAGCGUGGGGAGCAAACAGGAUUAGAUACCCCCGUAGUCCCUGUCUCUUAUACA